This 418-nucleotide ribosomal RNA is filed under the name uncultured bacterium. RNAcentral describes it as "bacterial SSU rRNA". It matches the Rfam family "Bacterial small subunit ribosomal RNA", at positions 30 to 431 of the family's 1533-position model. The record is from RNAcentral.
AUUGAACGCUGGCGGCAGGCCUAACACAUGCAAGUCGAGCGGAAACGGCAUAACGGAACCUUCGGGUGAAGAUAUGGACGUCGAGCGGCGGACGGGUGAGUAAUGCUUAGGAAAUUGCCCAGUAGAGUGGGAUAACUAUUGGAAACGAUAGCUAAUACCGCAUAAUAUCUUCGGAUCAAAGUGGGGGGACCAUUUGGCCUCAUGCUACUGGAUAUGCCUAAGUGAGAUUAGCUAGUUGGUGAGGUAAGAGCUCACCAAGGCGACGAUCUCUAGCUGGUCUGAGAGGAUGAUCAGCCACACUGGAACUGAGACACGGUCCAGACUCCUACGGGAGGCAGCAGUGGGGAAUAUUGCACAAUGGGCGCAAGCCUGAUGCAGCCAUGCCGCGUGUGUGAAGAAGGCCUUCGGGUUGUAAAGC